AGGGAUCAUUGCUGGAACGCGCCCCAGGCGCACCCAGAAACCCUUUGUGAACUUAUACCUUUUGUUGCCUCGGCGCAUGCUGGCCUCUAGUAGGCCCCUCACCCCGGUGAGGAGAAGGCACGCCGGCGGCCAAGUUAACUCUUGUUUUUACACUGAAACUCUGAGAAAAAACACAAAUGAAUCAAAACUUUCAACAACGGAUCUCUUGGUUCUGGCAUCGAUGAAGAACGCAGCGAAAUGCGAUAAGUAAUGUGAAUUGCAGAAUUCAGUGAAUCAUCGAAUCUUUGAACGCACAUUGCGCCCUCUGGUAUUCCGGAGGGCAUGCCUGUUCGAGCGUCAUUUCAACCCUCAAGCACUGCUUGGUGUUGGGGCACUGCUUUAAACGGAGCAGGCCCUGAAAUCUAGUGGCGAGCUCGCCAGGACCCCGAGCGCAGUAGUUAAACCCUCGCUCUGGAAGGCCCUGGCGGUGCCCUGCCGUUAAACCCCCAUCUUUUGAAAAUUUGACCUCGGAUCAGGUAGGAAUACCCGCUGAACUUAA
RNAcentral lists this ribosomal RNA (538 nucleotides) under Diaporthe sp. PV. Its description in RNAcentral is "eukaryotic LSU rRNA". The stretch from base 186 to 339 matches the Rfam family "5.8S ribosomal RNA". The record is from RNAcentral. Lineage: Eukaryota; Fungi; Ascomycota; Sordariomycetes; Diaporthales; Diaporthaceae.